CCUUCGGGAGGCAGCAGUGAGGAAUAUUGGUCAAUGGACGAGAGUCUGAACCAGCCAAGUAGCGUGAAGGAUGACUGCCCUAUGGGUUGUAAACUUCUUUUAUAUGGGAAUAAAAUGUUCCACGUGUGGGAUUUUGUAUGUACCAUAUGAAUAAGGAUCGGCUAACUCCGUGCCAGCAGCCGCGGUAAUACGGAGGAUCCGAGCGUUAUCCGGAUUUAUUGGGUUUAAAGGGAGCGUAGGUGGAUUGUUAAGUCAGUUGUGAAAGUUUGCGGCUCAACCGUAAAAUUGCAGUUGAAACUGGCAGUCUUUAGGAAAGUAGAGGUGGGCGGAAUGCGUGGUGUAGCGUUGAAAUGUUAAGAUAGCACGAAGAACUCCGAUUGCGAAGGCAGUUCACUGGACUGCAACUGACACUGAGGCUCGAAAGUGUGGGUAUCAAACAGGAUUAGAUACCCCUGUAGUC
RNAcentral lists this ribosomal RNA (460 nucleotides) under uncultured bacterium. Its description in RNAcentral is "partial 16S ribosomal RNA". It matches the Rfam family "Bacterial small subunit ribosomal RNA", at positions 338 to 795 of the family's 1533-position model. The record is from RNAcentral.